GACGAACGCUGGCGGCGUGCUUAACACAUGCAAGUCGAACGAUGAAGCUAGAGCAUGCUCUGGUGGAUUAGUGGCGAACGGGUGAGUAACACGUGAGUAACCUGCCCCGAACUCUGGGAUAACUGCUGGAAACGGUAGCUAAUACCGGAUAUGACCAAUGAAGGCAUCUUCUGUUGGUGGAAAGAAUUUCGGUUCGGGAUGGACUCGCGGCCUAUCAGCUUGUUGGUGAGGUAACGGCUCACCAAGGCGACGACGGGUAGCCGGCCUGAGAGGGUGAUCGGCCACACUGGGACUGAGACACGGCCCAGACCCCUACGGGAGGCAGCAGUGGGGAGUAUUGCACAAUGGGCGCAAGCCUGAUGCAGCAACGCCGCGUGAGGGACGACGGCCUUCGGGUUGUAAACCUCUUUUAGUAGGGAAGAAGCGAAAGUGACGGUACCUGCAGAAAAAGCACCGGCUAACUACGUGCCAGCCGCCGCAGUAA
Molecule: ribosomal RNA, 484 nt
Filed under: uncultured bacterium
Lineage: Bacteria
Description: partial 16S ribosomal RNA
Rfam family: Bacterial small subunit ribosomal RNA
Source: RNAcentral